Molecule: non-coding RNA, 26 nt
Filed under: Drosophila melanogaster (fruit fly)
Lineage: Eukaryota; Metazoa; Arthropoda; Insecta; Diptera; Drosophilidae
Source: RNAcentral
UUGAAGUCCACGAAUGUGCCGAGCAC